Telopea speciosissima is the source of this 309-nucleotide long non-coding RNA. RefSeq lists it as uncharacterized. The transcript has 2 exons. NCBI's taxonomy places the organism in Eukaryota, Viridiplantae, Streptophyta, Magnoliopsida, Proteales, Proteaceae. The record is from RefSeq and is a predicted model, not a curated record.
GCAGUUGGGAUACGUCAUAGUUGGGCUGUAGAAGUAUCAUACUCCAAAACCUGUAUGAUAUUUGAAAAUCCAAAAGGACUGGAUGAAUUGGGAAAUAUGAUAAAACUUACAACCAGUUGAUAAAUGACAUGAUACAAAAAAGAGUGACAGAAUUCAUAGGACAAUAAUAAGAAAGUAAGGGACUGAAUUUCUAGUCAGAAAUUGCAGGCUCAACCUGAUAGAUUAACUAGGCGGAAACUAGAUAUUCUUGUCAUGGAUUUUAUCAGCUCCAAAGUCCAAGAUGGAGAACUCUAUCACAAUAUAGAAUAA